RNAcentral lists this ribosomal RNA (377 nucleotides) under uncultured bacterium. RNAcentral's name for it is "bacterial SSU rRNA". It matches the Rfam family "Bacterial small subunit ribosomal RNA", at positions 523 to 898 of the family's 1533-position model. The record is from RNAcentral.
AUACGAAGGUGGCAAGCGUUGUUCGGAAUCACUGGGCUUAAAGCGUACGUAGGCGGAUUGCCAAGUGUCCUUUGAAAUCCCCCGGCUUAACCGGGGAACUGGGGGGCAAACUGGUAAUCUUGAGGCAUGUAGGGGUGUGUGGAACUCUUGGUGGAGCGGUGGAAUGCGUAGAUAUCAAGAGGAACGCCAGCGGAGAAAUCGGCACACUGGGCAUGUCCUGACGCUGAGGUACGAAAGCAUGGGUAGCGAACGGGAUUAGAUACCCCGGUAGUCCAUGCUGUAAACGAUGUCUACUAGGUUGCGGGAGUUCUGACGCUUUCGCAGCCGCAGCAAAAGUGUUAAGUAGACCGCCUGGGGAGUACGGUCGCAAGGCUAAA